Molecule: non-coding RNA, 45 nt
Organism: Nasonia vitripennis (jewel wasp)
Lineage: Eukaryota; Metazoa; Arthropoda; Insecta; Hymenoptera; Pteromalidae
Source: Rfam
CAAUCGGCCCUUUUCAGGGCCAACAAAUUUUUUAAAUGUUUGGAA